Molecule: ribosomal RNA, 253 nt
Filed under: uncultured bacterium
Lineage: Bacteria
Description: partial 16S ribosomal RNA
Rfam family: Bacterial small subunit ribosomal RNA
Source: RNAcentral
UACGGGGGGGGUAAGUGUUGUUCGGAAUUACUGGGCGUAAAGGGCUCGUAGGCGGCCAACUAAGUCAUACGUGAAAUCCCUCAGCUUAACUGGGGAACUGCGUGUGAUACUGGAUGGCUUGGAUUCGGGAGAGGGAUGCGGAAUUCCAGGUGUAGCGGUGAAAUGCGUAGAUAUCUGGAGGAACACCGGUGGCGAAGGCGGCAUCCUGGACCAACACUGACACUGAGGAGCGAAAGCCAGGGGAGCAAACGGG